This is a long non-coding RNA of Canis lupus familiaris (dog), 1376 nucleotides long. RefSeq lists it as uncharacterized. Lineage: Eukaryota; Metazoa; Chordata; Mammalia; Carnivora; Canidae. The record is from RefSeq and is a predicted model, not a curated record. The transcript is spliced from 6 exons.
AGCUUUGGACCUAACAUAUAACGCAUGCUCAGUAGAUAACCCUGAAAUGGACUGAAAAUCCCCUGCUAUGAUGAUUUCCAUGCGGCCUCCUUUCCUUCGGUCUUCUGGCCACUGAAGCACACUCUCCCAAGCUCCCUGAUGCAUGAGGCUGAGGGAACCAGGCAAAUGGCAGGAUUAGCUCCCUGGGGAACUGUCAUCUGGUGUCUCAGGGUUCUUAUAUUUGAAAGGCUGAAGUUCAGCUGCUGUAACAAAGACCCCCAAGUAACAGGGACUAAAACAAGGCAACGGGACACCCACUUCUGGGCAGCAGCCACCUCAGUUUUUCCAGAUGAGUGGGUGUCCAGGAAGUACCCACCGAGGCGCCUCCAGCAGAAUGAGUCACUCACUGAUAGUGGUUGCUUUUGGUGGAGAGACUCUACGAGGAAGAGACACAACAGAAUCUCCUGGGUGAUACAAAUAUUCCUCAUCUUGAUAGUGGUGUCAAUGAGUGAUGAACAAGGAGUUCUCAAGGUGAUUAUUCGCAAUUAUCAUUCCCACUUAAAUGCAUCAGGAAACAGAAUGAUUGAACAACUUGCCUAGAGUCUCAGCAUUAAUUGGUGGUAGGACUGGAAAUGGGACAUUGAGUUGGUCCCUAAAUCUCUCCUCCCUCAUGUUCGUAAGGGGCAGUAUCUGUAUAACCUUCUUGAGCAUUGUAACUGGAGGAUACAGUUACACCCAAGCAGAUGCUUGAGAGUGCAAUUGUGUAAGAAAACUAGAGAAGUGGACAAUCUAAUUCCUGGCGUAGGUGUGGGGACUUGGGGGUCAAGGUCUAAGGUCCCCGUGACCCAAGGAAGGAACUAGGACAUCGAGAGAAGCGGCUGGUAGACCAGUCAUCUUUGGAAGGGAGGCAGGUUCAAGGAUCAGCAAGAACUUGAGAACAUCGUGCUUCUGUAACAUUUAUUGAACACCUACUAUAUGCCAAGUGCUGUGAUCACAAAAGAUGGAAAAGAUCACCAUUUCCCUCAAGGAAAUAAUCGUCUUGUGGAUAAAGAAAGGAUAUGGGAACAACCCAACUUUAGCUCCAUCUGGUACCUGGCCCGGUGGAGGUCACAACUACUUCCUUUUAACAUCGACCUUUGGAGAAGCAAGAGAAUCAAAGGGAAGGAAAAGAACAUGCCCCAGAUUGCUCCAGGCCUCCUUCCUGUGUGCAGACCUGUCUCAUGGGGCUGUUCACUGAGAAGGACCUGCCCUUGGCUUAAAGCUCGGUUUUCUGCAGGCAGCCCCGGUGGCUCGGCGGUUUAGUACCACCUUCAGCCCAGGGCGUGAUCCUGGAGGCUCGGGAUCUAGUCCCACAUCAGGCUCCCUGCGUGGAGCCUGCUUCUCCCUCUGCCUGUGUC